This 301-nucleotide ribosomal RNA is filed under the name uncultured bacterium. Its description in RNAcentral is "partial 16S ribosomal RNA". It matches the Rfam family "Bacterial small subunit ribosomal RNA", at positions 509 to 807 of the family's 1533-position model. The record is from RNAcentral.
CAGUAGCCGCGGUAAUACGAAGGGGGCUAGCGUUAUUCGGAAUUACUGGGCGUAAAGCGUACGUAGGCGGAUUGUUAAGUGAGGGGUGAAAUCCCGAGGCUCAACCUCGGAACUGCCUUUCAUACUGGCAAUCUUGAGUCCGGGAGAGGUGAGUGGAACUCCUAGUGUAGAGGUGAAAUUCGUAGAUAUUAGGAAGAACACCAGUGGCGAAGGCGGCUCACUGGCCCGGAACUGACGCUGAGGUACGAAAGCGUGGGGAGCAAACAGGAUUAGAUACCCGCGUAGUCCCUGUCUCUUAUAC